ACCACCAACCUAGAAUCAUGCUCCUCUGUGCCCCGGUCCCUCUCUUGCCCUGACACACACAGGGGAAGCCCCAACACUCUUCUUCGAUGAGUCCCUUGUCUUGACCACAGGAGACAGUCGCCUGGGUCCCAGUCUCUGCCUCUCCAGUGUGGGCCUGGGUGAUUGCCUUUGGCUGGGAUACAGAGGCCCUGGUCACAGCCGGGGCAUUCUAGAAUUCCCUUACGUCAUCACUAUGAGGCCCAGAGUAUUUGCCAUGAGAAGAGAAAGGGACAUUGCACAUUUCAACCCAAUGAGACCUGGGAUGUGUGCAAGUAAGAUGCCAUUCAACAUGAGAGCGUGUGUACAAUGUCCUCCUUACAUUUUUUAUCGGCUUUGGUGCCCGGCACUCAAAAGGGCCUCAACGCAGUGGAAGAACAAUUGAGAAAGCAAACCGACUCUGAGCCCCUACCUCGCUCUGCUCCUUGUCGGCCUGCGCUUCUUUCAGUUGACCAAGAAGCUUCUCCUGUUCCCGAGUCAGGGCCUUCACGGUGUCUCUCACCCUGUACGUGGGGACAUGGAACAUCAGAUAACCCGGCUGGUCACCACAGAAGAUAUGAAGGACGUGGACUUUUGUCUUUAUCACUUUUUCUGGUGCCCCUCUGGGCCCACACCUCCUAUUGUCUCUGGGAUGCCCAAAUCCCCAGACCAAGGUGAUCUCGCUGGAAGCCCUGAGUAUCCAAGAUUCCUGGUUCUAGAGCACAAUCCAGAAAUAAACAGUUUGUUCUCUU
Molecule: long non-coding RNA, 767 nt
Organism: Acinonyx jubatus (cheetah)
Lineage: Eukaryota; Metazoa; Chordata; Mammalia; Carnivora; Felidae
Exons: 2
Source: RefSeq, a predicted model, not a curated record